UAUGACUGCAGCUAUAAAUUAAUCAAGUUGAUGUUGCCAGUAAACAAAAAAGGGUUAAUCAGUAAUUAAUUUAAAUAAAGUAUUUUUCACGAAAUUGUGAACAUAAAGAAACGUGUCUAGAUAUAAUUAUUUAAGUACGAAUCACUGACAACGUGGGACCACCGGCGUGAAAAACUAAUAAAAUAAGGCGGCGGGGCCAGUUAUACUAACUAAAAAUUGCAAAAUAAAUGGGUGAUAUACCAAAAUAAGCUUUCUAGAAGGUUACAAGAAAGAGAGACUUAUUCUACCCAAGCGUCAAUUAUAAUCUAAUAGAACUUUAAAAAAAAAUUUUAAAAAUUAUUUAAAUUAAGAAACUAUUCAACACAUCGGAAAAUUAUUUUCUAUUUUUUCUAUUAUCCGCAGGAAAUGAUGGCCAAGAUAAUCCACUGAAUGCAGAUAAUUAUCAAAAUAGAUGAAAUUCAAGAAGCAAUAGUAAGUAAUAACCGAAAAAAGUAAUCGUCAAAGCACAAGUGAAGUAAUUCUAGAACCAGACCUUCAUUGUCAACAAUAAUCCGCACAGAGUAGCCAUGGACAAGGAGCUGUUUCACAACAGCAAUACCGAGGUACGAUACACCGCUGGUGACACAAACUAACUUCUCGAGUACGUCGCCGUUUCCAGCUCCGACAGGAUCUCUGUCUCUUAAAUCUUCACAGUCCUUUCUCCGGUGACCAGCGGCACAAGACAGCAGCAUACGACGGAACUCGUCGAUCUCCACAUUCUCAGUCUCGUGCAAUCGCAGAAUCCCCAUUGCAGCAGCUUGUCGCGAUAGUCGGUAGAGGAAGUUGUUAGUAGAAGGUUAAGUAGGAAUUUUAAUCGGGCAUCAUGCAUAAUAAGCCUCGUCUUUUAUGCUUGUUGACGCCCGAAGAUGGCUUGGCUUGUAAUCAGCUUGGAGGCCAAUGUGUUAGUCUUUU
This 951-nucleotide long non-coding RNA is filed under the name Olea europaea subsp. europaea. Lineage: Eukaryota; Viridiplantae; Streptophyta; Magnoliopsida; Lamiales; Oleaceae. The record is from RNAcentral.